GACGAACGCUGGCGGCGUGCUUUACACAUGCAAGUCGAACGGAAACGCCCUGCUUUUUUGUGAUGCUCGAGUGGCGAACGGGUGAGUAACACGUGAGUAACCUGCCCUUGACUUUGGGAUAACUUCAGGAAACUGGGUCUAAUACCGGAUAUGAGCUCCUGCUCCAUGGUGCGGGUUGGAAAGUUUCGGCGGUUGGGGUUGGACUCGCGGCUUAUCAGCUUGUUGGUGGGGUAGUGGUUUACCAAGGCUUUGACGGUUACCCGGCCUGAGAGGGUGACCGGGGACAUUGGGACUGAGAUACGGACCAGACUCCUACGGGAGGCAGCAGUGGGGAAUAUGGCACAAUGGGGGGAAGCCUGAUGCAGCAACGCCGCGUGCGGGAAGAGGGCCUGCGGGUUGUAAACCGCUUUCGCCUGUGACGAAGCGUGAGUGACGGUAAUGGGUAAAGAAGCACAGGCUAACUACGGG
Molecule: ribosomal RNA, 468 nt
Filed under: uncultured bacterium
Lineage: Bacteria
Description: partial 16S ribosomal RNA
Rfam family: Bacterial small subunit ribosomal RNA
Source: RNAcentral